This 479-nucleotide ribosomal RNA is filed under the name uncultured bacterium. RNAcentral's name for it is "partial 16S ribosomal RNA". It matches the Rfam family "Bacterial small subunit ribosomal RNA", at positions 28 to 507 of the family's 1533-position model. The record is from RNAcentral.
GAUGAACGCUAGCGGGAGGCCUAACACAUGCAAGCCGAGCGGUAUUUGUUCUUCGGAACAGAGAGAGCGGCGCACGGGUGCGGAACACGUGUGCAACCUGCCUUUAUCUGGGGGAUAGCCUUUCGAAAGGAAGAUUAAUACCCCAUAAUAUAUUGAGUGGCAUCACUUGAUAUUGAAAACUCCGGUGGAUAGAGAUGGGCACGCGCAAGAUUAGAUAGUUGGUGAGGUAACGGCUCACCAAGUCAAUGAUCUUUAGGGGGCCUGAGAGGGUGAUCCCCCACACUGGUACUGAGACACGGACCAGACUCCUACGGGAGGCAGCAGUGAGGAAUAUUGGACAAUGGGUUAGCGCCUGAUCCAGCCGUCCCGCGUGAAGGACGACGGCCCUAUGGGUUGUAAACUUCUUUUGUAUAGGGAUAAACCUACUCUCGUGAGAGUAGCUGAAGGUACUAUACGAAUAAGCACCGGCUAACUCCGUG